RNAcentral lists this long non-coding RNA (39846 nucleotides) under Physcomitrium patens. RNAcentral describes it as "long non-coding RNA (PPAT_LNC008855)". Lineage: Eukaryota; Viridiplantae; Streptophyta; Bryopsida; Funariales; Funariaceae. The record is from RNAcentral.
GAUGAGCCUUCUUUUAUUGCUGUAAUAAAAGCUUUUACAUCUAUUAUUAAAAAUUUAGGUGUACUAAAUUAUAUAUUUCUUUUUAACUAAUGGAAUUUUGAAUCAAACUACAAGAAAAAUUAAGAUUACAAGAAAUUCAAUCUAUUUAAGGCUUAUAAUUUUUUAACCAUAAUAAUCUUAAAAUAAUUAGAUUAAAGGGAGAUUUUAUUAUAUUAAAUAUUAUUACGCUAUUAUGAGCUUUAAUUUCUACAUCUAAAGAAAUAAUCUUAUAGAUAAUAUUUUUAAAAGAUAGCAAAUAACCAUCUAUGACUUCUAUAUGUAUGGAUUUAAUUUUUUUGUUUCAUAAUAUUUCUUAUUUUUUGACAAAAUCUUUCUCUAUAAAACAUGACAAAGCUCCUAAAUCUAAUAAGGCUAAGAUUUUUUGAUUUUUUGGUCCUAAAUAAAUUUCUAUUAUAUAACAAGAUAAAGAAUUUGAAAAAAAAAAUAAGAUCUUUAUUAGAUGUUAUACAAGAUUCUAAAUGCAUGGUCUCUAUUGUAAUUGGAGAAACUCUUUUUUCAACACAUCAACCUCUUUUGCAACCAUACUCUACAUUUUGUGAUUAUGUUGCUUUUUUAAAUAAUAUUGAAUAGUAUUCUUGGAUUCUCUAUAAUAUAGGUAUAAAUCUUCUUGACAAUGAUAAGUCUUUUCUUGCUCAAUAAGAAGUUUAAAAUAUAUCAUGUCAAUUUGUAUAAGCUUUGGCCUAAACAAGUAAGCUUCUAAAAACUUAGAAAAUGUUAUUAUAGCUUGACUUGUACAUCUUCAAUCAAAUCUUUGUUCUUGGUGUCUUUUAAAGAAUCAAUUGUUGCAUAUAAUGGCUUGAGUAAUAAAUUUCCUCAAUGAAUCAACUCUCAAUAUUGUUAAUAAUAAAUUUCUUAUUUUAUCUUUUAAUCCAUAUCAAAAUUAAUUGAUAAGAACUUUAUCAUUUCAAUCUAUAUUAUAAAGAAUAUUUUUAGAAUUCAAUAGUAUAUAUAGUGGUUGAACAUGAUCCUUGUUGUAGCAAUAUGAGCUUGGUUUCUAUUACUCUUUUCCAAUUACUUUUUCUACAUAUAGCCGUAAAUACUUCUAAGAAAGAAUUUAAAUCAAAGUAUAGUUAUGAAUAUUUUUUCAUUAAAGGUGCAAACCAAGGGAGAGUACUUCUUAAUAGAAGUGCAAUUAUGAAUCCAACUUGAAUAAAUCCAUUGACAUAUUAAAAAAAUACAAUCUUAAAUAUAACUUAAUUUAUUACAAAAAUCUUCAAAAUUUUGAUCUUAUUCCAUUAAACUUCUUAGACAUACUAAUUCUUUCUUCCUUCAUGCUUGUAGAAACUAAGCUUCCUAAAUUUGAUUAUGAUAUUGAUCUACUUGCAUUCUUCUACUACAUAAAUUUUUGGCAUAGACAUUAGACUUCUUCUAUAUGUGUAGGAAUAAUACUUACAUGAUUCAUAUUAAAAAUACAUGAGAUUUUUACUCUUAGAAUAUUAAAAAUUUUAUAAAGAUCUACAAUAGUUGCAAUUCUAUUCUUACUUUCGUUGAGAAUAGCAUCCAAAAUCAUUUCUUUUAUAGAUAAUUCAAAUAAUUAUAAAAAGAUAAAUUAUAGGAGGGUAAUCUAUAACAUCUAAUAUUUAAUAAAAAUUUCUAUAAAAAUAGAUAAUUCACUUUUUUUAUAAAAAAAAGUAAUAUUAAAAAAUUAAAUUAUUUAUUUAAAGGUAAGUAGUCUACAAUCUUUAAAAUAUAAUAAUAGAAGUAAGAUAAUCUAUGUAUUUCUAAAACAAGAUAAGAAUAAUAAGUUAACACUCUUAUUGAAUUAUCAAAGAUAUGAAUCUUAAAAAAAGAAAUCCUUAAUAUAUUCUUAUGUCACUCAAAAAGGCUAAAAAAUCAUUCAAAGAUGAUAAUAUAUUAAAUUAGAAUGGCUAUUAUCAAAUACAAAAAGACUAAAAAGACUUGAAAUAAGACUAAGGACUAGAAAGGCAUUGACAAGAGUAAAGAAAGCUUUACUCUUACUUCUAUAUAUACUUUCUAAUUAGAAGCUAUAUGAUAAUGUUCUAUAGGAUCUCCAAUAUGUUUUGACCUUGUUAGACACAUGUCUUAACUUGCAAGAUAAGUUUUCUAUAUGUGCACUACAUAGUUAACUUGUUCUACAAGCUAGCAAUAUGUGUAUCAUGUGGUUAAUUUUUUGAUCAAAUUUCUAAUCUAUCAAUCAACUAAAAACAUGUGUAAAGUAAAAACCAUGUCUACAAAGCUUCUAAAAAGAAAUUAUAAAAUUAUUCUAUAUUUAAUUAUUUUUAUUUAAUUAUAUAGAUAAUUAUUGAAAUAAAUACAUAUAUUUGUGAUAUUUUACUAAACACAUGUCUUAACUUGCAAAGAAAGUUAUUUAUAUGUACGUCAUAUAAUAAUUUUUCUAAAANNNNNNNNNNNNNNNNNNNNNNNNNNNNNNNNNNNNNNNNNNNNNNNNNNNNNNNNNNNNNNNNNNNNNNNNNNNNNNNNNNNNNNNNNNNNNNNNNNNNNNNNNNAUAUAUAAUUUAAUAUACAUCAUAGUGAAAGCCACGUUAUUAGAUUUUGGUUAGUUACAAAAUGUAGUUAAAUUAUUACUAUGAAGUAAUAAUUUAAAAGAGCUACUAUUGAUAUUAAUUUUAUAUUAAUAAUAAUUUUAUAUAUUUAGAGCCACAUUUAUUAAAUAUUGGUGAUUCUUAAAAUCUUAAUUUAUUUUACUUAUUUAAUAUUUUUUAUAUAAAAAGAAAUAAUUAGGCUAUUUAUAUAGAUGAAGGGAGAUAGAUGAUAAAAAUCUCCAUUCAUAUUGGCCAAAUAUUAUGUCUAAUGGCCUUCAAGGAAGCAAUUUGAGGCCUUAUUAGGAAUUAGAAUUAUUAUUUUAAGAACUUUCAAACAUCAAAGAUUAGGGUCGUUAAGAUUAGGAUUUUGGAUAUAGUUUUGAUAAAAAUAUUAUGUGAUUUGGAGUUUUUGUAUAAGAGAUAUAGGCGCACAAAGUCAAGGUGUUGAUUUUUUACCUACUGUUAUUCUUUGAGGCAUAGCGCAUGUGUAUAAAGAACUUUUAAAGAUCGGAUUAUGCAAUUAGAAAUUUGAAUUAAAGAAAUAUAAUUUGCAUUAAAAUUUAUAUAAAAUCUUAUAUUCUAAAAUAUUCUAAAAAUAUAUACAAAAUUCUAGCACAACUCCAUUUAAAUUUAAGAACUUACUCAUCUGCACUGCAACUAAUGUUUGAGAAAAUUUUAUAGGUUAUAUCAGCUCACUCAGAGACUUUCUUAUUAUUGGAUUGAAUCUUUCAAGUACAUACCUCAAUGCUUAAAACCUUGCUCUUAUUGUCAAUAAAAAAAAUUGAUAGAUUGUAUAAAGACUUAUCUAAAACUUGGCACAUAUGUAUAAGAGAUCAUCAUGAUAAGAGUAGAUUUAUUCAUGUAAAUUCUGAAAGAUUGUUACAUAUGACACCAAUAAAUGUUCUUUGUAUGUCCUACAAAAUUCUUGAAAUUCUAAUUCAUCUAACUUCUUCUACUUCAGCCUAUUAUUAUCACAAACAUACACAUUCACUCCAAUAAUUAUCUAUAUGAUUAUAUAAAAGUACAUAAAAGUAAAUAAAAGUAGAUUAUUUCAUAAUAUCUUUUAGAAAUGCUUCUUAGAUUCUUCAUAGAUUUUGCUUUGACUUUACAUGUAUUUGGCUUAUGAUUGAGAACCUAUUCUAAUUCACAAUGAUUUGAUUAUUUAAUGAUUCUAAUAAUUCUUUCUAAGCAUUUGAUUUAUGUUCAAGAAGUCUAAUAAAUUUUUAAUUGUGAGCUAAAAAAAUAUUUAGUUUAGGUGAUUUAUUCUAAUCCAUAAUUAUUAAUUAAUAUUUGAGUUGAUUAUAUAAAAUUUCUUUUUAUUUUUUUUAUAAAAGACCUUAAGUUAUUUAGCUAAUUAAACUCAUAAUCAAACAACUAUAAACAAGAAUAUCAAUAUUUAAAUAAUUCAACAAUACUACAAUUAAAAGAAGAAAUUUUUAUAUGAUUUUAAUUUGAAUUUUUUAGUAUUAAUUAUUAUUCAAAUUUAAAACUUUAUCUAAAAAUAAUUUCUUAUCUAUAAAUGAAUUUUCAUCUUUUUAAAAUAAAUUUUUAUUCAUCAAAAUCUAUUCAAUUUGACUUAACUUUAUCCACAUAAUUUUUAUCUAAUGGAAUUCAAUUUCAUCAUCAAUUUUUAUCCACAUGAUUUAUCUAUAAUAGCUAAUUAAUGGACUUACUAUAUCAUCCAAAUAAGAACCAAAAGUAGUUGGCACUUUUAAACCUAUUAUUGUACCUACUUUCAUAAUUUAAUGUACUACGGCUAAUUUUAAGAUUUAAAUUUAAUCCAAUUAGUUUUGUUAAAAAUAAGACUUAAAGACGCAUCCACUUUCCAAAUUUUGCCUUCAAAUUCAGUUGUGUGACUCUAAUAUUGCCCCUCAAAAUUGAUGCUUUGAUUUGGCAAGGUAAUAGGCCUCUUUCUACAAACAUCAACAUUCCUAUCAUGCCCUAAUUCUAAUAUGAUUUAUUCUUAGUUUUUUAGAAUCUACACUUUUUCAACUCUUUAGAAAAAUAAUUUUUUUGGCUAUAUAACUUAAGAGUAAUAAAGAAGAGCCUUCUAAAAUGGAGCUACUAAAUUAUAAGAUAAGGAAUAUGAUCCUUUACUAAAUUAGAGGUUUCUUCCUCAUAAAAAUUUUAAAUUUUUAUAUUUUUAUAUCUAAAAAAUUCCAACAAAAAUCACUACUUUUUUCUAAAAUAUCCAAAAUUAAUUCAAAAGAAUAAAAGAAACAAACUGGAACUAUCAAUUGCUUACAAAUUCUAUAAAAAAAUUGGCAUGGCUUUGUCUAUCAAUAAAAGAAAGAGCAAGAGAGAGAGAGAGAAAGAGAGAGAGAGAGAAAGAGAGAGAGAGAAAGCGAAAGAGAGAGAGAGAGAGAGAGAGAGAGAGAGAGGCUUAGCUACCCAAUCCUUUUAUAUAAGUAUUUAAAGUUCUAAAAAUAAUAGUUACAUCUCUAACAUUGAAAUUCUAUGAACCUAAUCAAAAUCUAUGGUUUACAAGGCCUUCCAAAUAUAAAUCCGAUUAUAGGACUAGAAACCCUCAUAACUAUCCAUUAAUUAUGUUUUUUUUAUAAAACUAAUGCUAAUAUUGUAUUCAAAAUAUAUUUUUAUUCCAAGAUUGCCUCCUUGCUUGUCCAAAUCUAUACAAAAAUGUAACAUUUAUGUAGUUUUAAAGAAUUAUGAUCCAAAACUAAUUGGCUAUUUAAAUGCUAGAAGUUAGUCACCAAUUAGUGCUAUAAUUUUAUCAAAGAACUUGUAGAAGUUUUAUCACCAAAUUAAAUUUUAAAUUUUCUAAAAGAUCAUGGAUUUUGAGAGAUUAUGAGUUUAUUAAUCUUUGGAGAUUCUAAUAAUUCUAAGAAGUUAAGAGAAUGUUAAAAUUUAGUAUUUUCUUUUGAAAAUAUAAGCUUUAAUCUAUUCAAUAGAAGAAAGAAGAAAAAAAUGAAAUCAAUAAAAAUAAAUAAAAUAACUAAAAAUUAAAAAUUAAUAUUAAUGUAGUUAUUUUUUUUAAUACAGAAUUUAAUUUUAAACUUUUAGAGCUUAUAUAUCUUUUUAUAUUACUAUAAUUUCUAAUUUCUUAUAUUAAUAUUAAUUUUUCUUCAUAUAAAAUCUUUUAAAUUAAACUUCAUUUGAUAAUUAUAAUUUGGUACUCUAAAUGCAUCUUUUUAUUCUAAAACAACUAGUAAGUUGAUUUAAUGACUUAUACUAGCCUUGCUUAGAAGUUGAUUUAUAAGCUACCUCUAUUUGUGAAGUGUGAUCAAAUCUCAAGUGGCUUGGGGAUGCUUUUGAAUCAAAGAUUCUUUCUAUUUGUGAUUGUUGCUUCUAAAUUAUUUGCUCAUUACAUGCUUCAAUGAAUUCAUUAAUAUUGUUGAAGUCCUUAGACUUAAGAGAAGAUAGCUAAUUUCUAAGCCUCUCUUAUGCUAGCUAGUUGAUUGACCUAACUUUGCACUAGCUAGGCUCAUGCUUGCUUAUCUCUUCUAUUCAUGUUUCAUUUGAUGCACUUUCCUUCUAUUUUUUUGCUUGUCUCUAUUUUCCUAAGCUUAAAGAGGAUUUAAUUCUAUAAGUCUAAAUCACCAAAUAUUAUUGUAGUGGUCUAUAGGAGAAGAAAGGAGCUUUUGUCUCUAAAAUAGAAGGAUUAUCCUUGGUAGUGCUAUAUGAAUCACAAAAUUUAUUCACUUGGAUAUUUAGUAUAAAAAAUGUACUUAUUAUACUUUAUAUCACAAGUUUUAUGAAUUAAUAGAAGAAUUAUUAUAUAAUUAAAAAAAUAAAAAUAUUGGUAUAAAUUAAAAUAUAUAAUAAUUUUUUGAUACAAAUUUCUAAAAUAAAAAGAUUUUUAAAAUUUAACUAAUAUUAAAUUAUAGUCUGAUAAAGAUAAUUUAUUAUCAUUAAUUUUUUAUUGAGAUAGAAAUUAAGUAUAAAUAUUAAAUUUUUUAAAAAAAAAAAUUAAAAAAAAAAUAGCUUUUUAUAAUUAAAAUAGAAUAGAAUCACUAAAUAAAAAAUAAAAAAUAAAAAAAUAAACCUUGUCUUCUUAGAAAUUCCAAAUUGUGAAUGAUGAUUCAAAAUUUUGGAAAAGAGUUACUAAGGGCCAACAAAGUGUACAAUUUGGCAGCAUUCUUUUUCUUUUUUAUUUUUAUUAUAGAGAGAAGCUAUAACUUUUUUUCGUGUUGAGUUUAUUGCAGUUCCAGUAUUAUAGAGCUCUUGUGUACUUUCAUUGAGUCUAAAGUAUGGUCUUUCCUAGUAAGGUGUAGCAAAGUACACCCUUGUUUUUUGGUGACCUAUGGUUGAAGCAAGCGCUCUUCUACAACUUUAGUAUUUUUUGACAGUUGUUACAAAAUGGCCUCUUUUGUUGAUUGGAAAUUGCAAUAUAGUAGGGAUUGCUCAAUCAAAGGAAGGUGGCAUUGCUUUUUCCUUGAAUUGGCUCUUUUCUUAGUGAGGAACUUUGAAUUGUAGCAAAAUAUUAUCAAACUUGAUUUUUAGUUGUUCGAUUUUGUAAUUGGAGGCAGAAAGGUGCAUCCUUCUUAAUUCUUCUUCAAGCUAUGGAAGAAGUACAAUCUUUUGAUUCUUUUGUAUCAUCAUCAUUGUUGGUUUUUUCAUGCAAAAAUCUUUUUUUUUUAAAUCUUGAUUAAGUUUCAAGUUGGUGGUUGCAACUGAUCUGCAAUUGUAUACGAUAAGCUUCAUUAAAUAUUGUAUAAUAUAAAUUCUUACUUAGAAAUGUACCAAGCACGUAGUUAUGGAAGAUAAAUAGAAAAUAAAAUAACAGGAUUUUAUCAAAUUUAUUAAAAUCUUAAUUAAAUUAAAAAUAAUCUUUAAUAAUCCUAAUCAAAUUUUAACUAAUUCAAAAAAUAUUAAUUACAAAAAAACCCAUAAAGAAGUCAUAAACUAAUCUCAACAAAAAAAAUAAAGAAAUCUUAAAGAAAUAUAAAAAUAAGAUUUUUUUUAAAAAAAACUCUUAAAAAAAUAUUUAAAAUAAAAAUCUUAAAUAAAUCCUAAUAAAUCCUAAAUAAAUCCUAGAUAAAUCUUAAUCAAAUUUUGAUGUAAUCUUAAUCAAAUCCUUAUGAAAUUCUAACAAUUCUAAAUAAAUUCUAACAAAAUCUCAAUCAAAUUUUAAUUUUAUUCUUUUCAAAUCUUAGAUCAAAUCUCAAUCAAAUUCUAAUUAAAUUCUAAAUUCUAUACCAAAUCCUAAAUUCUAAACUCUGAAUCAAAUCCUAAUCAAAUCCAAAAUCCUAAAUCAAUUCCUAAUAAAAUCCUAACUAAAUCCUAAAUCCUAAACCAAAUCUCAAACAAAUUCCAAACAAUCCAAAACAAAUCCUAAGUAAAUUUCAAUUACUCUCUAAAGUAAUUUUAAAAUCUCAAUAAAUAUUAAUCAAUUUUUCAUUUUAAAUUAAAAUUUCACUGACAUUUUAAACUAAAAUCAAUUAACAAACACAUAAAAUUUGAUGAAAAUAAAAUUCAUCAAUUAAAAGUAAAGCUCUCAAAAUUGCUUGGAUGUUGAUUGCCUUCUUUUUUCAACUCGAAUGUUGAUCUUUAAAAAGUCUUUUUUUUCUUGUUGAUUCAUUUAAAAAUUUUCUUCAAAAAUUGGCUAGUAUCCAGAUUUCUAAGUCUAAAUUACUCUUAUUGAUUUCAGCUUCAAUUGAAUUGGUAGAUAUUGCAAGAUCACAAAAAUCCUCAUUGAUCCUAAAUUUUAAUUAUUCAAGAUCAUAACUCACAAAAACUCUCAUAACCAUCAAUCUAAUUAUUUGAUUAACAUCAAAUUUUUCAAACACAUUCAACAUAAAUAUAAUUAUAUAUUUACAAAAUUUUACUUGCAAAUAUGCUACAAAAUUCAUAAAAUCUUUAAAUUUAUAAUUUUUUUAUUAUUUUUCAAAAUCCUAACCUAUUAAAUACAUCUCUUACUUUGAAAAGCUCUCAAAAUCUCUAUAUGCCUUCAAAUCUCAUAAAAUCAAUUUUUAUAAGUUUUCUUUUAAAUCAUUCUCUCUAAUCAACUAAAAUACCUCAAAGUUGCUAUAGGUAUGCAGUUUUGUAUAUUAGGAUUUGAUUUCAAUCUUCAUUCAUGCUUAUGUUGAUUCUUUAUCUCAUUUAUUUUCAUUUGACUUACUUAUAUCCCUUUAAAGUAAGUAAAAGUUUUUCCUUCAAGAAGGCAGUAUUAGCACUUAUUAAUUGUUAUUACUUCCUUAUCUAUUAUUUAUAUUUUUAAGAUAAUUCAAUAAAUUAUUUUCACUUAAGCUCUUUUAUAAUAUAAUCUUUUUUUUUUCUUCUUUUACCAUAUAAUCGUACUAUCAUAUAAUAUUGACUUAUUAUCAUUUUUAUUUUUAUUUUUUCAUUCAAUCAAUGAUCUAGCCUUCUUAUGAUCUUGAAACACUACAUGUUUUAUAGAUUUGUAUAUAAAAAGAAGAGUUUUUAUGGCACAAAUUGAGAUCCCUUUUGAUGAGGGAAUUUGGUUACUAUUUUAAUUGAUAGAUGUGGAUUGAUUUACAGGUCAAGGUUGAAUAAUCAUUGGUAAAGGUAGCAAAUUUAAAAGUAGAAAAAUGUUCUACAAGGUUGUCAUUGUCAAAAAAAAAAUCAUUUUGAGUGGUCUCGGUGCAUCAAUGGUAUUGAAAAAUUAAAACAGAAUUAAGAAAAUAAUAUAAAGGUAUUUUGCAAUAUUAGGAAUUGAUUGGCUAUGAAGGAAGUUGGUUUUAGAUAUAUAAAUUGGGCAUGACUUGCAUGAUUUUUAAGAGUUUUUUUUUUAUAUCUCGUGUAUAUAGAUUGGCUCUGAAUCUGAUUCCAUUCAUAUAGAAGCCAGAUUGGUUGCCACAAUACUCAGCAAUAGUUAGAAGUUUUUUUGAAUUUCCAAAGAAUAUGCUAAGUAGUUUGUUUAAUAAGAAAGAAUUGAAGGUCAAAGACAAAUAAAUCCUUCAAAUUGCAUGGAACUUAAAAUCACAAAAUAAUAUAAUAAAAGAAUUAAAAAUUUGUCUUAUUAAGAUUACAAAAGUUAUUGAAUUUGUAGCAUCUUUAAUUCAUGUAGUACAUAAGAAAUAUAAAGAAUCUUUAUCAAAAGUUGAUUGCUUGUAUAAACAACUCGUACAAGUAGUUAAACAGAUCAAAGAUGCUAGUGUGUAAAAGAUAGCUACACUAAAAAUCAAAGAAGGUGCUUUAUAAGAAACUCAUAGAUAUUGAUUAGAGCUUAAAAAACUUCAAGAACAAGGAGCGGCUACUAAACAAUUGAAGAAGACAUUCCUACUUACUAGAAGGCAGAUUGAAGUUGAAUUGUUGUUAUUUAGUCUAGUAAAUUAGGAUCUAGUAUUUAGCUACCUUCAAAAACCUUAUAUUUGAUGAACAUUUAGAAUGGAAUAAAAAUUAGGAAUUAAAUAAGAUUAAGUUAAAUUAAAAUAAAGUUAAAUUAGAAUUUUAGAGCAAUCAAUUUUGGAUGAAAUUUUCAAUCAAUAUUAAACUUUAAUUAUAGAUGAAGUAUGUAGAAGAAAUAUUAUUUGUAGAUAAAAAUUUAUUUUUAAAUGAUAAUUUAUACUAAGAUGAUUUUUUUGGAUGAUUUUUAUAUAAAUAAAUAAAAUAAAUUAAAAUAAACAUAAAAAAGAUAAAAAUAAAUAAGUAUAAAAAUAAAUAAUUAAUUAAAAAUAUAUAUUAUUUGAUAUAUGAUUUUUGUGAAUGAUUUAUUAUUAUAAGUAUAAAUAAUAUUAGAAGUUUUGCUUAUUUACUUAAUUUAUUUAAGAAGGCUAAAUAAUGAUUGAAUUUAGAUUGAAUUUAAAUUGAAGAAGAACUAUACUUUCAAAAAUAAUUAUAUAAUUAAUUCAUUUAUUGUGAAUUAGAAUAAACUUCCAACUAAUGGAGGUUUAUUUUAGCUUACACAUUUCCAUAGUUUUUUUUCUAGAAGUGGCAUCAAGGUCAAAUAUCCUAGAAGGUCUUUACCUUAAAUUUCUAUAUGAGCUACUAUUACAAUCCAUUUUUGCUUGCAUAGUAUUUAACAAUUACAGACUAAGUAUAGUGUAGAGAAGCAAUACUGGUACAUAAUUAAUAUAUUAUUAUAGUCCAUUUGUAUAUGGCUUGUCUCCUUUAUUAUUGGAUUUUUUACUUUAUUUUUGAAUAUUUUUUAUCAUUUAAUGACCUUUUAUAAAGUAUGCAAUGACCAUGUACUUUGUGUAGUGUUCUAUCUUACCUUUUAUUUUAUUGCAAUCUACCUUUGCUUCUAUUAUAUUUUUUCUAAGUAAGAAAUCAAUACUACUAUCGAAUAAUAUAGCUAAAAAUUAUACUUUCAAGAAUGUACGAAUAGAAUAAAUAGCACCAUACAAGCCUAGAUUGAUUAUUAUAGCCACAAAUAUUAUAUAUCUACUACAUUGUUUUAAUUGAUGUAUUUUGCCUAUCUACUUAUUUUAGACUCCAUUGAUUGGAUUGGCACAUGAUCCAUUUGUAGCCUUAAGUAUACUUGCAUAAGUGGCCAUAGUCAUUGCAUGCCAUGUUAUGUCGUUUUUGUAAAUUUAAUAUUUUUUCCUAAUAAAUGUCUAUCGUAUUGUACUUGUGUUCUAAAAACUAUUAAUUCUAAAUUAAAAAUCCUAUUGUGAUCAAUUUUACCAUUAAGCUUCCUAAUACUUUGAAGAGCUUCUACUAAUAAUAGUGAUUGAAUUUGAGUAAAUCAAUAGAAAACAAUACGGAUCCUUUUGUAUUCAUGAAAGUUCUAUAUUUAAGCAUGGAGAGCUAUCUGAAGCCUCAUUGAAUUUGAUGUGGUUUUUUUUUUUAUUUUUGGUAUUUUUGACUUUUGGAUAUAUACUAGCAUUGAUAGGUAAGUUUAGACAUGUAGACAUAAAAGUUAUAAAUAAGUGACAUCCUUUUUAAGCCUUGAGUUUUAAUCUACAAAAUAUGUUUAAUUAUAUAUAUAUAUGCAUAUAAAAAAUAUAAAAAAUCUAAAACUGUAACAACCAUGUGAUGACUAACUUGUUGAGCCAUCUAGUACUCAUACAUUCUUAGAAAGCUGUAUGACACCAUUUUCACAUGAACGGUGCUAUGCUUCAAUGGUAUAAAAAGGCCAAAAUUGUACUAAAUCCUCAUAAAAUAUUUCUAGCAAUUCAAAAGGGAGUUUUACUAUGAUAUGUAGUAUCAAAAAAGAGUAAAAAACUUGAUCCAAAGAAGGUCAAAAUUAUAGUACAAUUAAAUCCUUCUUCAAUGGUGAAAGAGGUGCAAAGAACCUUAAAAUAUAUAAGUUGGUAUUAAGAAGUCAUACAAAAUUAUGCUACACUUUCCAUGCCUAUAAAUUAAUUAAUACAAAAAGAGGUAAAGUUUGAAAGAGAUAAAAUAUGCUAAGAGGCAUUUGAUAUCCUUAAAAAAAACUUAGUACUUUUUUCAUUCUAAGACCACACAAUUGGACAUUGUUCUUCCAUUUACUUUAUGGCAUUUUUUUUUGUGGCAAGAGCAAGUACAUUGUAUUAAGUAAGUAGAAAAAAUGACAAGGAUUAUUUUAUAACCUUUAUUAAUAGUCAAUUAAAUUCUACAAAAAGAAAUUAUAUCACUACAAAAAGAGAGUGUCUUGCCAUAGUAUUUUUAUUAAGAAGUUUAAAUACUACUUCUUUAUGAAUCUAAUAGUAUUUUUUGUAGACCACAUGGCAAUUAAAUAGCUUUUGAAUAAGGCUGAUUUGAAUAAUAGACUAAAAAGGUAGAUAAUUUUAUUAAUGAAACUCAAUUAUGUAAUAGAAUACAAGCUUGAAAAGAUGCACAAGCAAGUAGAUCAUUUAUCUAGAUUAUCAAAAUAAAUUCGUAAAGCCCCAAUUGACAAUACUUUGAUAGAUAAAAGCUUGUUUAUUGUUUUAACUACUCCAACUUGGUAUGAAUUAAUUACCAAACUUUUGAUAAUAUAAGCCUUACUUCUUCACCUUUUUAAAAUAAAACAUAGAAAGAUAAAAAUUAAUACUAGAAACUUUAUCAUAAUUGGUGGCAAAUUAUAUAGACAUAGAGUUGAUAGGAUGUUAAGAAAAUGUGUGAUAGAAAAAGAAAUUCUUACUAUUCUAUUCGCAUGUCAUGAUACUGCAUAUUGGGAGCAUUUUUUAAAAAUCUUAUUUAGCCAAAAAAUCCUUAAAAUUAGCUAUUAUUGGCCUAUAUUAUUCUAAAAUAUAUAUAAAUAUAUCAAAACAUGCAAAGCAAGUCAACAAUAUGCUAAGAAUGAGUUUAUUCUUCUAUAUAUUUCUACUUUUAAUUUCUUCUAAGAAAUAGAGAAUUGACUAUAUUGAAGAGGUUUAUGCCAAUUCUAUUAGUAGAAUAAAAUACAUAGUGAUAGUAACCAAAUACUUGACUAAAUAGGCUAAGGCAAAGAAAAUUAAAGCCAACAAUGCUAAGCAAGCUGCUAAAUUUUUCUACAAGCACAUGAUUACUAAAUUUGGAUGUCCAAAAAUUUUAAUUAAUAAUAAGAACAAGUAUUUUUUAAACAAGGUGAUAGGAGACUUAACUAACUAAUUUAAAAUUAUUUAUAAGAAGACUACUCCUUAUAACCUUCAAAUCAAUGGACAUACAAAAAGGAUCAAUCAAACUUUGAUUAAUAUUCUAAAAAAAAAAAUGACAACAUCUAAAUGAGAUUGAAAUAUAAAGCUCCUUGUAGCCUUGCAGACUUAUAAGACAAUUUUUAAGGUGACGAUCCAAGCAACCUUAUUUUCCUUUAUUUAUGGCAUAGAAGCCAUUUUACUAAUCAAGUUUGAAAUUUCUUCUCUUUAAAUUGACUUGAGAGAACAAUUGUCAAUUAAAAAAGCUUUAAUUAAUGGACUAGAAUAAUUAGAAGUUUUAAAUGAAGCCAAAAGACGAAGUGCUUAAUAUACAAAGGUAAUCCAAAGAAAAAAAAAUACCUUUGAGAAAUGAUACAAUAUUAGAUCUAACAAUAGUUUGUAUUAGCUUCUUGUUAUGCCUUGGCUGGUUGGUCCUCUUAUAAGAUGUUAGGAGAUUAGAUUUCUCAAAUAAAUUUGAUGCUAUUUGCUUGGGUCUUUACUUAGUUAAAGAAGUAUUUUCAAACAAUUGAGUUUGGUUUCAAAUCCUCGAUGAAGAAGAUUUUUUUAUUAAAAAAUUUAGUAAUCAAUGCAAAGAAUACAUAAUAUGAUUUUAAUCAUAUACAUGGUCAAAUGGCUUAUUCUUUAAUUUAUCCUUAUUCAACUUCUUAAAAUGACAAAUCAUCAAAAUUAGAUAAAAUUUAGGAAGCUAAAACAUUGCAGUUCAAGAUAAGCAAUAGCUGUAUUAAUUUAUCUUAUAUUCCUUUCAAUUUAAUUCCUUCACACAAAAAAUAUAAAUAUUCUAAAAUAAAGAAACGAAAAUUUGAUUAGACUGUUAUGAUUUUGAAUCAAAAUAUAUAUAUAUAUAUAUAUAUAUAUAUAUAUUAUAUAAUAUAAAGAGAUAAUUUGGAAUAGAUUAGCAUCUUUGGAUUAUAUGGCAAUUGGCUACAAAAGUAGUUAUGUAAGAGGUUAUCUAAGUUUGAAUUCAAUUCACAUAGAUAGCUAUCCAUAUGAGCUAGUGUAAAAGCAGGAAAGUAGCCAACUUGUGCAAUCUAAAGGAUAUGUAGGCCUCUAUGGCUUCUAAUCUACAUUCUUUUCUUUGGAGGAGAAUAACAUAGAAAUAAAUUUUAAUUUUUUCUUUCAAAUAUUUUAAUUUCCUUUCCUUCUCUAUUAUUCUACCUCUUUUGUUUUGUCUCUUUUCUUAUUCUAUAAAAUUAUCUUACAUGGCUUAGCAAGUAGACUAUUUUCUUCAAUAAACUUUCUAUCUUAAGAAAUAUAGUACUAGAAGAUAGGAGUGAAACUAAUACUAACCACAAUUUUUUUAGGAGUAUUUUACUUUGGUUUUUUAGCACUACUUCUUUUAGUUAAAAUAGAAUAUCAAAACUAAAGAGACUAACUUUAGAUAAAGACUUACCAAAAAGCAAGAGCUUUUGGAUUCUUUGCUACUUCAAUUUUUUUAGAUGAUUGCCAUAUAUAAAUCACACAAUUGACUUACUUUUGUGGUUAGUAAAAAAAACUUAUAUUUAUAAUACUAAAAAUCACCAAUCUAGUAAAUUGAAAUAUAAGUUUUUAAAUAAAUAGCAAAAAUAGGAUUUUAAUACAAAAUUAGGUCCCUGAUAGGGUUUCUUUGAGAAAAAAUUAUAAGAUAAAUAUUUUCUCCUUAAUUAAGCUCAUAUUGAUUUAUGAUGUUUUUUAUGGUAGAUUUAUUCCAUGAAAAAGUUAAUUGGAUUAAGAGCGAAAUAUAAACUUCAUUUGAUUAGUCCAAAAAAGUUUAAAAAAAAUAGAAGUAGAAAGGAAUAAGAAGGAAAAGAACCAAAAAAAAAAAAAAAAAAAAAAAAAAAAAAAAAUGAAGAUUAUCUUACAUGCCUCAAAUUUCCAAAAUAAGAGUGAAAUCCCAAGAUUUUGGAAAAGUGCUGUUAAGAUUUUUGUUGAGAAUGUUUGGAAAGACACAAGCGUAGUAGUAAGUAAUACACAUACACAAGAAUAGUAGUAAGUAAUACACACACACAAGAAUAGUAGUAAGUAAUAUACACACACAAGAAUAGUAGUAAGUAAUACACACAUAUAAGAAUAGUAAUAAGUAAUAUACACACACAAGAGUAGUAGUAAGUAAUACACACACACAAGAACAGUAGUAAGUUAUAUACACAAGAGCAGUAUUAAGUAAUACAUACACACAAGAAUAGCAGUAAGUCAUAUACUCAAGAGGGUUUUUAAGGAGAGAGAGCUUCACACAUAAAAAUCUAUUGAUCUAGUUGUGUCUUGUAUACAAGAAGAGAAAGGUGAGACGAUAAAUAGUUCUUCUUCACUAGACUCUAAAUACUGUAGCUAUGAUAUUUACUAUAGUCUACAGUAAAUAUUAUGGAGAGCAUUGGAUACAUUUAAUGCUCUCAACACUCCUCCUUGCUUAUGUUUGUUCAGUAACAACAGUUCUUCAUGAACAAUUGAUCACAUUACCAGCUUUGGUAUAGAAUGUUGCUUGCCUUUUACAUCUCUGAAUUCAACUUGUGGGCAGUAGCCAUGACUUCUAGUGGAUUUAGUUCCAAUGCAAUGUAGAACUGCAUUGAUGGUUUAGUAUGUUUGAUUUAAUAUAAGAAAUUGCAAUGAACGUACUUCACUAUUUGCGAAUGAUUUUUAUCUAUUUGAAGAACUACGUCAAUUUUACGUGAAUUAUAUUUGAAUAUUUAUUUAUUUAUUUUUCACUCUAUUUAUUUCUAAAAUGAAAAUGGUUGUAGAUGUUACGAGUACCAUCGAUAGCCUUUUUGUUGUUGUUACUCCACAAUGCAGUUAGGUCUUUCUCUUUCAUCAACUAUUGCAUCUUUGAAAUAAGAGAAUUUUAAUGCAGAGAAUGGAUUUAAAUAUUCAAAAUACAUAAUAGUUUAUAUAUAUAUAUAAGAAGUUUUUAUUCUAUUUGUAAUUACUAAAAUAUGUUAUAUAUCUCAAAACAGAUACAAGCUAGAAAUCUAUACCACCUUAUUUAAAUAUAUAUUUUUUACAAAUAAUUCUUAAUUUUUUUUUAAAACUAGAUUAGAGGAAAACUCAUUAAUAUAUAUAUAUAUAUAUAUAUAUAUAUAUAUUUUUUCUAUUCAAAAUAAAGUAUUUAUUUUAAAUUAAAUAUUUUUUAUUAUUUUGAUAUUAAUUUUUUUAAACAUCCAAUUUUUUUAAUGCUCAUUUAAUUGAUUUUGGUCAAUUUUUAUAAAAUAUUAAAUAUUAUAAAAAUACUUAUUAAUCUCUACUACUUAUUUUUAUUUUUAAAAUAUAUUACAUAAUAAGAAUAUUCUAUUAUAAUAUUUUUUUAAUAAUUAAUUUUUUAUUUAAUAAAUUAAUCAUAUAAAUAUUAUAAUAUUAUUAAUAGAUUAAAUUGAAGAGAAUUUUAAAUAGAUCCAUGAUUUUACUAAAUAAACCUACUUUUAAUGAAAAAUAUGAUAAUCAUGAUGAAUGUGGUUGGUUUGUAUUGGUUGUAGAUCUAAUAGUAGAAAAAUGAAUUUUAGAAGUUAUUAUUUUUUUCAUGAUGGUUAAGAUCGAUAGAUAUGUAGUAAAAACUUGGAUCUAUUUAACUUUCUUUAUUUUUGAUUAUAUCAAAAAAAAAAUUAAGGUUAAAAUUUAUUAAAAUUUAUUAUCAAUAUAUCACAUGAUAUGGUAUUACAUGCUAAAUCAUAUAUAUAUAUAUAUAUAUAUAUAUAGUUUAGUUUUAUUUCUGAUUUUCUAUCCAUUAAUAAUUUUUUUAUUAAUUAAUUUUAUCGAUAUCAACUAGAGUUCAAAUACUUAGGUAGAAAAUAUCUCUUGACUUGACAUUUUUGUCAAGUGAAAUCUUGUGAGAGAUUUUUGACAAAGAAAAUUUGUUAUAAGGUUUUGCUUGACUAUGAAAUAGACCUUAAAAAUAAAUUAUAAAAAAAUAAAUUAUGAUUGUUUUUGCUACUGGAUUUUGGAUACUAUUGUAUUGGAUGCUACAACCCAAAUAGGCCAUUGUAUUAGAAUACAAUUUAGUAAGGAAUCAUUGUUACAAUAUUAAGUAUUGUCAAGUCUGAUAUACUAUGCAAUAACAAGGUAUAAGGUACAUUGUUGCAUAUAAGACAUAAGGUUGCAUAUGAAUACAUCGAAAUAAGUUGCAGUAUGAACAAUAGAUUGCAAUACACAUGAGGGUUGUAAGAAGAUAUGACUAUAGUGGCAGUGGAUUGUAGAAGGUAGAAGCCUAUGCAGAGUUACAGCAUUAGAUUGUAUGAGGUAGAAGCAUAGUAGCUUGUUGUUGCAAUAGACAAGUUUCUUAAAUUUGCUUCAAUAUGCUCUUUAUAUCUUCUUUUUGUUUUGGUGCCUUGUAGCUUACUUUUUGCAAUCUUUAAUUUGGAACUUUGAAUGUUUGCAACUGAUAAGUAGAAUUGGUUUAUUCAGCUAAAUCUUGAAGAGAUAUUUUUGAUUUUGAAAGAUACUACUAUUUGGUGUUUGGUGAGCAAAUGGUACAACAUAGUGGUUUGGUAUAAAAAACAUGUGAAAAACAACAAGGAUCAAUAGUGGCUUAUAGCAAUAGUCAGUGACUUGUGAUAAUAAGCAAAGGUAAUUUGCAUCACAUUAUCACAAAAGAAUAGUGAUAUGGUUGUGUAGUUAUAAGAUUAAAGUGAUUGUAAGAUCCUUUUGUUUGUGGAUACGUUAGACUUAUAGUGAUCUAGAAGUGAUUGCCAAUGAACUGCAAAGCUUAAUAAUCUUUGCAGAUCUAAACUGAUAUUUUGGCCUUUAGAUAGUUAUAUGUAUCCAAAUAGUCUUUGUUAUGAUGUGAGGGUAAAUUUCACCUUUCAACCUAAAUUACAAGAUGGUUUCAAUUAAGAGUUGCUUAUAAUUGGUGGUGAGAUGUAAAAGAAGCAAAUAGCAAGAAAAAAGAAGAAUAAAUAUAAAAAAAUAAAAUAAAUAAAAUUGAGCAAUUUUACACAAUUCAAAACUUGGUCAUAGUCUAUUUACUGAAUUUUUAUCUAAUAAAAAAUAAAAAGUAAAAGUAAAAAAUAUAUGUAUUUUUUAAAAUUAUCUUUUUAAUGGUGUAAGAAAAUUUUAAAUCCAAGUUACUAUGAAUGAGUUAUGAAGGUUUUAAAAUAAUAAGUAAAUAAAUAAAAAUUUAAGUGAAAAUAUUUUACCUCAAAGAUAAGUUGCUUAUAGAUCAAGGAUUUGAGCUUCACCAAAGCUCACAUGUAGUAUAUAAGAGUAUCUAAAAGUGGCUACGAAUUCUUAAUCUUAUCCUUCUAAUUACAUUCAAGGUGCCACAACCUAUAUGAAACUUAUAGACCUCUUUUUUUACAAAGACUAUAUUAGCUACUAGUCCUCCUAUUUUUUACUAGUAGAACCAAUAUUUUUAUAUUUUUGACUUUAUUAUGGUAUUUAAAAACAUCCAAUUAGCCUAAAAACCUUGUAUGGCCUUCAAAUCUUACUCCAUUUCUUCAUAAUAGCUCUCCAAUUGAUAGAAUUUAUUUUUACCAAAGUCUUGAAAUUUGCUCUAAAAAUUCCUAAAAAAUUCUAAAUAAAUUCUAAAUAAAUUCUAAAACUUCUUAUAAUAUUUUUAUAAUUUUAAUAUAAAUUUAAUUUUAUAAUUUUUUUAUCUUAUUACUUUUUUAUAGUAAUAAAAUUAAUAUAAAUCAAUUAUAAAUUCUAUUUUUAUAUCAAUAAUUUAAAAGACAUGAGGCCCUUUUUUAUGCUUCUUUUAAAUAUUAACUAAUAUUUAUAGUUUUUUUUAUAAGUAAUACAUAUAGAUAAAAUUAAUCUUAAUAAUUAAUCUUUAAUAUUUAAUAAUAAGUAAAAAUACUAAAUCAACUAAGAUAAUUGUCUCCAAGACUUAUUAAGACUAUAUUUUUAUAAUUAAUAUUUUAAUUCUUAAUUUAUUAUAAUUUUGGUACUUUAAAUGUAUUUUUUUAUCUUAAAAUAACUAGUGAGACAAUUUGAUGACUCACAUAUGGUGCAUACUAGGAGUCAAUAAUAUCAAUCUCUUUCACCAAAUUACUUAGAUAGUGACUACAUUGAGGACUUCGGGCUAGGAAUGGAUACUAAUAAGGCUUUUUAGUGUAUUUCAAUAUUGAAUAUCACUUGAAGGCUUUGGAUCUUAAUAAUAGAUAUAUUUUAAGAGAUGGAAGAUGAUCUUUGUAAUAUGGUGAGGGAUAAAUUUUUAAGAAGAAUUAAGGGUAUUUCUUUAUUAUAUUAGAGACUCAAGUUUUAAACUUGGAUAAAAAAAAAGUAUCAAAGAUCUCCCACUUGUAAUGAGUGGUAUGCCUUUGAGAUCUUAUGCUAAUACUUAGAACAUAAGACAUUCCAAAUCUAUAAAAAAUGGAAUAAAGAAUACUCACUUGAGUUGCAAGAAGUAGAGCAUUAUUGAGAGGCAUGCAUAGAACUUAUUUCAAUUCUUUAGGAAGGUGCUAUCUCAAGCUUAAUUCCUAUAGUGAAGGAAGAAGAUUUAACUCAUGGAGAGUUUAGGCAUAAUUAAAUGCAAUACAUUCAAGACUUUUGUCAUAAAAAAAAAUGUUUUAUGUACUACAUAUACUCAUUUGUCUUAAUUUGCAAUAGAAUCAAGAAGUUUAUUUGAUGAGAACCAACUUGUUAAGAUUUUUUUAUUUGAAAUUAACGAGAGAUUAUUGAAAUAGCCACACUAAGAAUUAUUUUGAACUAUAAUGGCAAGACAACGUUUGUAUAAAUAUUUGCUAAAGUUGAAAAAUAUAAUAACGUACUUUGUUAACAUGAUAGUAUUGACAUGGUAGCUUGCAUGAUAGAUGUAUCUAAGCACAAGAAGGUUGCAAUUGUGACAAGUAGCUUAGCAAAAAUUCAACCUAAAAGGACUAUGUAUUAUUGGAAGUAUAAUAAAUUUGGUCACACAAAGAAUGAUUUCAAUUGUUUCAAAAAGAAAGUCUUAUAUAUGGAGAAGUCUAACAAAAAGAAGAAAGUCUUACACAUCAAAAAGUCUAACAAAAAGAAGAAAGUCUUACAUAUAGAGAAGUCUAAGCUAAAUGCUAAGAUAAUCAAAAUAAAAGAUAAAUCUAAGAAGAAGUAAUUGAAGUGUAUUUAUUGUGAUAAACUUAACUACAAUGAAGAUAAUUGCUUCAUAUUACAUCCAUAAAAAUAGCAUACUUUAGAUAAAGAAAAAGCUUUCGAAACUAAAAUUGCUAAGCUAGAGAAGAGAUUUGAUAAAAGUCAGGUUAUUAGGCCAAGUCAUUAGAUUUCAUAUGACUUCUAGAAGUGGAAAAAAAAAUUAAAAAUUAUAUAUUUGAUAUAUUGAGACAUAUGGUGGUUACAUCUACUAUAUGUGCUUAAACAAUAGCUAAAAAUAUGGCACCUAUAAUAAAUGAGGUAUUAAAAAUGUUUUUUAGCCAUCUAAGCAAUUAUAGAGAUCUUAAUACUCAUAUACAAUUGCUAUUAUGAUUUGGCCUUGCAGAUGUUAAUUCUAUGACCAAGCUUUCUAUUUUAACUUCAAUAUAAGAUAAAGAUAUUAGUAUUGAAAACAUGGUAUAUACUUUGGAUUAUAAAGUAUUGAAUAUGCUUAUAUUUUUUAGUGUUGACUUGUUGACUUUCGAAUUUAAACCAAUAUGGAUCUUUCAAUUAGCUAGUAAAAUAUUAAAAGAUAAAGUGUCUAUGCCAUCAUUAUAAGGAACUCAAGCAAUCACAAAGUCUUCAACAAAAGAAGAUUUAACUAAGUUACAAGCAAAGCUUGUAACUAAAGCUAUUGCCAUAUUUCUUAAUGGUCAUUUUAAGGCAAUAAAUAUAAAUCCUUCAAGUGAGGUGCCAUUAACUACAAAUGAGUAAUUUUAUCUAAUAUUGCAAUUAGACCUCUUUAAAAAUGUCAAACUUUAUAUCUAAAAAUUGUAAAAUUAAUUAACAAUAACAACAUGCUUGUUAUUAGCUAUAUUAGUAUAAAUAGUACUUAUGCUAUAUCUUUGUAUAUUAUGCUAGAUUUUGAGGUUCAUCUAAUUAUAAUUGGUAUAAACUCUAUUUAAGGUUGCAUCCUUUCUAAUACCUUGAUAGAUUUACUCAAGUUGGAUUUAUAGGUGCACUUCUAUUAAAAAGUGUCUCUUCUCUUAGUUUGCACCUUUGAUAGAAAAAAAUUCAUGACUUCUAUAUGACUUGAAUUCAUUCUUAGAAGUAUUUAUGGCUAUAUUUAGAAAAAAUGAUGAAAAAAAGAUACCAAAGAUCGAGCUUAUAUCACUAUAACAAGGAUCACAUUUAGCGACGACAUAUAUUGUUGAAUUUCAAAAUCUUGUUUGUAAUAUGAAUUGGAAUGAUAAAGUCCUUAUCAAUUAAUUUUGAUAUGGAUUUAAAGAUAAUGUCAAAUUUUUAUUAUUGACAAUAUGAAGAGUAUGUUUAUUAGAGAAAUUUAUUGAAGCCAUUGCAUGCAAAAAUUGAUUCUUUGAAAGAUACAAAGAACAAAGAUUUUAUUGAUGGAGUAUAAAUCAAGCCAUAGCAACACCUUCUAAGUUUUGGGAAGCUUACUCAUCUAAAUCAAAGCCUAUAUAAAUUAACAUGAUACAUUUUAAACCUCUUACUAAGUAAAAAAAAAAAAAAAAAAAAAAAAAAAAAAAAAACUUAUUAUUGUCAAAAAGAUUUGUGCUUAUAUUAUGGAGAAUCCAAGUAUAUUACUCAAUAUUAUCCAAAGAAAUAAUACAAUUACAAAAUAAGGAGCAUGAUUACCGAUGUAUUGAAAAAUAAGUUUUUUCAGCUACAUUAGAAAUUGUGUGGCUAGAAUCUUAUAUAAAACCUAGUUAGAUCAUAUUUUCUUCUUAGAUCCUUCACCUUAUUUUACAAUAGAAGUUUAUUUAUGAUCAAAAGAUCACAAAGUCUUAGCCUUGUUAGAUUUAAGAGCUUCAACUUAUUUUCUAGACAAUGACUUUGUAAAAAAAUAAGAAAUAUUGUUAGUCAUGAAAAUUAAACUUCUAUAUGUAGAAGUCAUAGAUGGUCAUUUGUUGUCUUUUGGAAGUAUUACUCAUGAGACUAUUUCUUUAGGUGUAGCAAUUAAAGAUCAUAAUAGUAUAAUAAUAUUUAAUGUCAUAAGUUCUCUCUCUAAACUAAUUAUUUUAAGAUUAUUGUAGUUAAAAAAAUAUAACCUUCAAAUAGAUUGAAUUUUUUGUAACCUAAACUUUUCUUAUAGUUUAAUCUAAAAUUUCAUUAGUGAAGCAGAAAUUCAUAAGUCUAAUACAUCCAAUCCUUAUUAUUAGGUGCAAAAACUUUCAUACAUGCAUCAAAAAAAGAAUCAUCUUUUGUUAUAUAUGCUUUGUCAUGUCCCCUUUAAUGAAACCAACUUACAUCUAUGCAAUACAAGCACUAUUAUCUUCAUGCAAGAUAGUUGGAGAAUCAUCAUAUGAAAAUCCACAAUUUUUUUGAAUGAAUUUAUCAACUGAUGGCAACCAAAUACAUUCUCGAGAUGCUUCAUAUAAGGCAAUAAUCUUUGCAUGGUUGGAUGUAAUUGUAGAUAUUGUUUGUUUCACUGAUUUCCAUGAUAUUGUAGCUCCAUGUCUUAAAAAUACAUAUCUUGUUUGAGAUUUAGCUAUUGCAGUAUCAGAUUUAUAUUAUGUAUCACAAUAUUCAACUAAUUUUAGAUCUGUAGAUUAUGUGUAGUAUAAUUCCAAGUCUUCAAUACUUUUUAAAUAACGUAAUAAAUUUUUGAUAUCAUUCCAAUAUUUUAGUAUUGGACAUGUACUAUGUCUUGUAAGAACACUAAUUAUAAAUGUAAUAUCUGGUCUUGUAGAUGUAGCUAAAUAUAAAAGUGCUCCAAUCGUUGCGAGGUAUAAAUAUUGAUCUCUCAAUAUUUCCUCUUCUUCCUCACAUGGACGGUAUGGAUCAUGACCAUCACGACUACGUCCAACCAUUGGUGUGGACAAUGGAUAAGCAUUAAUCAUAUUAAAUCUUCACAAGAUUUAUCUAAUAUAAGUUACUUGGUAGAGAAAAAUGCUACCAUCUAUUAGAUGUAUAAUCUGAAGAUCAAUGCAGAAAGUUAUUUUUCUUAACAUUUUCAUCUCAAAUUCACGUAUAAGUAGCUUAGUAGUUGUAGAUGUAGUGCCCACUAAGUUAAAAUCAUCAACAUAUAUAGUAAUAAUUACAAAACGAAUUUUAUCUUGUUUAAUAAACAAAGAAGGAAUUAAUAGAUCACUUACAAACUUAUUUGUAAUUUAAUAAUCUCGAAGAUGUUGAUACCACAUGCAUCCAGAUUGUUUUAAACUAUAUAAGGCUUAACAUAAUUUAAUACGAAGAUAUUGUCGUGGAGUGGGUCCAUUUGGAGUUCUUAUUUCUAAGCCAGGUGGAACUUUUAUAUAAAUAUUUGCAUCAAGAGAACCAUAUAGAUAUGCAGUUACUAUAUCCAUCAGAUGCAUCUCAAGGGUGGCAUGAACUAUCAUUCUAAUAAUAUAUCAAAAUGUAAUUGAAUCCAUGACUAGAAAAUAUGUGGAUUCAUAAUCAAUGCCAAAUUGUAGAUCAUAUACGCUAAUGAUUCAUCUACCAUAAUAGAUGGUCCAUUCCAAAUAUCAUUUGUAGCACAAUACAAAAUAAAUAAUUCUUUACUCAACUUAUUCUUAUUUCUUCUAAUUCCAAGAUUGUUUUUCAUAGGAAUUGAAGGUACAUUAUGCAUAGAUAUAUCAUCAUAAAUUGGUAGUUCCACAGGAUGAGUGGCAAUUUCUUGAGAAAUAAUACCACAAUUAGUCAAUAUUAUAGCUUUCUUCUUACGUGGUUGCUUAUCUGGUCUACGAGUUCUUUUAGUUGUUGUUAUUACAACUUGAGGUAUUCUAGUCAAUGGCACUACAAUCUGAGCAGGUGCAUUUUGAGCCUCAUUACUAGGAACUCUUGUAAUUCUAGGUGCAUCAUUGAAGCUAUCAGAUGUUUCAUCUGUGAUCUGUUUUAGAUGCAAAAUCUUAGCAACUUUGAUUUUUGCCAAAGAUGUCAUAGGAUCGGAAUUCAUUGUAAAUGUUUCUAGUGCUUCAAAUAUGAGUACUUUAUUUCUUUGUUGAUUGGAUACUCCUCCUUGAAGAGAUGGAAAUAUAUUUUCUUCAAAACAAAAUUUUUGCAAACAUGCACAUAAUAAUGUACGAGUUGAUGGAUCAAUAAUACAAAUAAUGCUUGAUGAAUCAAAACCAACAUAUAUGCCUUCUUGUCAAUGAGCUCCAAUGGUACGUGGUUGAGGUUCUGAUACUGGAAUCAAAGCACGGCAACCAAAUACUCGUAAGUGAGAUACAUUUGGAACACAAUCCAAAAUGAGCUCAUGUGGUGAAAUAAUUUUAAGAGAAGAAGGGUGGAGGCGUUGUCGUAAUACAUGAAGUCUUGCUUGAGAAUGCCCUGGGCACUUGAUUGUGGAAGAAAGAAUCGAAAUUGCAAUAACAAAAUUCUAAUUCUAAAAGAAUACUAACAAUGUUUUAAUUAGACCAUAAUAAUGCUAAGCAAGCUUAAUCAAAUUCAAAAGAAAUCUCAAAGAAAUUUCAAACAAACAAUAAGAAUCCUUAAAGAAAUAUUAGAAGGAUCACAAAUAUCACUCAAAUACAUCUCAACUCAAUCUUAAUUUAAUUCGAAUUAAAAUCCUAUUGAACUUCAUUCAUACUUUAAGCCAAAACUAAUUGAAUCUUAAAUCCUAAUAAAAUCCUAAACCCUAAAUCAAACCCUAAACAAACCUUAAACCAAACCCCAACCAAAUCCUAAACCAAAUCCUAAUCCUAAAUCAAAUCCUAACCAAAUCCUAAUCCAAAUCCUAAAUCCUAAAUCAAAUCCUAACCAAAUCCUAAAUCCUAAAUAAAAUCCUAACCAAAUCCUAAAUCAAAUCCUAAAUCCUAAACCAAAUCCUAAAUCCUAAAUAAAUCCUAAAUCCCAAAUCCUAAACCAAAUCCUAAACCCUAAACCAAACCCUAAUCCAAAUCCUAAAUCCUAAACCAAAUCCUAACUAAAUCCUAAAUCAAAUUCUAACCAAAUCUUAAACUAAACAAUAAACCCUAAUCAAACCCUAAAUCCUAUCCAAACCCUAAUCCAAAUCCUAAACCAAAUCCUAUCUAAAUCCUAAAUCAAACCCUAAAUCCUAAAUCAAACCCUAAUCAAAUCCUAAACCCUAAAUAAAUCCUAACCAAAUCCUAAACCAAACCCUAAAUCCUAAAUCAAAUCCUAAUCCAAACCCUAAAUCCUAAAUCAAAUCCUAGUAAUUCCUACAACAAAUUUAAACCUCAAUAACUAAUGAAUAAAUUGUUGAUCUUAAUUCAAAUUUUGCAUAAUUCUACAAAAAUAAGUUAAAAUCAAGUACAAAAAAAUUGAAAAGGAUCGGAGUUACCAAUUUGACGAUAAACUCAAAAAUGUGCUCGGAUAUUGGCCGGCCUCCUUUUCUAUUCUUGAUGCCAAUCUUCCAGAGCCAAUAUUUCUUCUUUGCACCCUUCAAUUGAUCUCAAAAUUCUCAUACAUAUAGAAAAUCAAGUCUAAUAUUCUUUCAUGUAAGUUUCAUUCCAAUCCAACUAGUAGAUUUUAAAAAAUCUUAAAAACCCUCAUUAGAUCUAAAAUUCUAUUUUCUGAGACCUUGACCCACUUAAACCUUAAUAUUCUUCAAUUCAAAAAUUAGAUCAAGCUCAAAUUCAAAACACACAUUAAACACAACUAUAACCAUAAACCCAAAAAAUUUCACCCAUAGAUCUAUUAAAAAACUCUUAAAAUCACCCAAAACGUAAACCCUAUUUUAUUUCAUAAAAUCCAAGUCAUCCAAAACAAACCUUGACUUUGCAAAGCUCUUACAAAGUCAUAUCAAUUCCAAAUCACCCAAAAUCAAUUCCUAUAGAAACCCUAUCCAAUCUUUUCUCAUACCUCACUCUCCGAUCUGCCAAAAAGUCCCAAAGUCGUUGUCGAGACUCAGUUUUGUAUCCUAGGAUCUGUUUUCGACCCUGGUUCAUAACCGGCCCUCUUUGGGUAUCAAUAUCUAGUUUUUCUAAGUAAUUUUUACUGGAAUUUACUCUUAAUUUCUUCCUAAAGAUGUCUAUAUUAUUUAUUUUUCCAAUCUAUCUUUUUUUGCCUUAUUUAUGGCCCUACAAAGUAAGUAGAAGUCACCUUUUUAAAAAGGCAGUAUUGCUACUAAAAGUUUUACUACCUUCUUAUCUUUUAUCCAUAUUUUUCUACUUUUUCUUUUAACUUGGCUCUUCUAUAAUAAGAUCCAUGUUAUCAUCUUUCACUAUGUAGUCUUAUUACAAUACGACAACAUAUUAAUGCUGCAACAUGUAAAAUUGCAUUAUUCCACAUACAUGUAGGUAAAUUUGCAUGAAAGAGGAGUGGUCGAGUAAUGAGUUGUAUACGCUUUAUAAAUGACUCAGCAAGUCUAUUUUGAGCAUGUUCAUAUAGAAACAAUAUGUCAAUUCAAUUCUUGUUGCAGUACAGUAAUCUUUAAAAGAUUUUGAUGCGAAUUCUUUUACAUUAUCCAUACGCAAUAUUUCUAUAGGAUAAUCAAGAAAAUGUGCUCGAAAACAAAUAAACAUAGAUAUAAGAUUGGCAAACACCAUGUUUCAAGUUGAUAAUAAUGAAACAUGUGAUUGUUCACUUGAUGUAUCAACAAGGACCAAAAAAUAAUGAAAUGGUUCUGAUAUUAGAUUAAUAGAACCACAAAUAUCACUAUGCAAUCUUUCAAGCAUUAGUGGUAAUUCUUGUGGGAGUUUCGAAAUUGAAGGCCAAGUAAUUAUUUUACUUUACACGCAUGCACGACACAAUUCCAUAGAGUCUACAUCCGCAAGCUUUAAAUUGUACCCAGUUAUACAUGGAAUGAUCUUUCUAAAUAAUGUAGAUCCUGAAUGUCCUACUUAUCCAUGCCAGAGAGAAACACGACUCUCUGUGAUAGAUGAUGCAAAAUUAAAUAUAAUGGAAUGCCAAAUCACAAUUUGAUAUAAACCAUUUUCUAUAUCAAAAGCUUUUUCAACAACUUUAUGGUUCUUUGCAAGAAUCAAACCUCUUUUUUAUUUAAAAUGGCCGUAGAGAGGUGAUAACCAUUAAUACACACAUCUCAGUAGCUCAUCAGAUUCUGAGGUGCUGAGGGUGCAAACAUUGCAUGUAUAUAUUUUACCUACAGUAGGUAAUUUUACCAUCAUUGUGCCCUCUUAGAAAUAAAAUGCAUUUGCUUCAGUCAUAUUUUUAGUUUGCCAAGUUAAAGAUUUUUCAAUAAAAAAUUGUCUAUCUCACAAGAUAGUAUGUAUUGUUGUAAAAUCAAUGAACGCAUCAUUUGAUUCAUUAUUAGAGGUUUUGUCAUUUAUACAAGCCUCUAAGUCAUCAACACCAAUUGAAUCCAUUGACACAUCUAUGGUAUAAACUUCACGAGCCUCAGCUCGUAGUUUUUUAUUUUUUUGGAAUAUUUUAAUAAAAUAUUUUGAAAUACUGCACGCAUGUGCUAAAUGUCCAAUUAUUCUACACUUAUGGCAAGAACGCAUCUUUGAUUUUUAUUUUCUACUAUAAUUAAUAGUAGAAUAUUUAUUCUUUCCAUAUGGGUAGAAAUAGUCAUGACUAUGACUACCCUGAUAUUUAUGGGCACAUUUUCCAUGUUUAUAUAAUUUUUUCUUAGACUUUGAAAUAUUAAGUGCAUGAGAUUUUGGAAUUGUAGUUCCAAUAGGAUGAGCUUCCGCAUUGCGCAAGAGUAGCUCAUUUUGCUUCUUCACAAGAAGUAGAUAGGACAUGAGAUUAGAAUGACUCUGAAAUUUCAUGUUCUUGUAUUGUUGUAUAAGCAUAGCAGAUACACGAGAAAAUGUAGAGAGAGUUUUCUCAAUCAUUUCUUCUUCAGAGAUGCUUUGUCCACAUAAUUAUAAUUGUGAGACAAUACUAUACAUUUCACUAUUGAAAGUAUUUAAAUUUGGAAAAUCCAAGACACAUAAAUGUGUCCAAUUAUGAUAUGCACGUGGAAGAAAAAUGGUCUUUUGAUGAUCAAACCUCAAUUUAAGAUUCUUCCAAAGUUCUAUAGGAUCUUCCAUUUCCAAAUAUUGAUAUUGUAAUAUAGGUACAAGAUGACAAUGAAGGGAAAGAAGUGCUUUCCAACAAAUAGCAGGAAGAAUAGAAAUACUUAUUAUAGAAGAUUCUUCAAACAUAAUGGCAUCUAAGAGUUAUUCUGCAAAUAAAUUUGCUUUUGCCAUUUUUGCCCAAAAUAGAUAAUUAUUUCCAUCCACAGUCAAUAUUAGAAAUAAAAGAGCUUGAAAAUGUUGGGAUGCACUGAUAAUAGUUGGAACUAUAGUAGAAGCAGUUGAAGAUGUUGAAGCACUCAUUAUAAAUAAAUCUAUAAAGAAAUGCAAGAUCAAGUAGAAAAGUUGAGUAUAAUAUAUCUUAAAAUAUAAAGUCAAAUAAAAUGAUAAACUUGAACUUGAAAAAUAAAACUAUUUUACUUUUUUAUUUUUUUUAUUUUUUUAAUAAGAUUGUGGAUUAAGGCAGCAGAAUAGCAGUAGGACGGCAGGCGGCAACAAGCUGCAGCGGUAGAGUGGAAAGGUAGAGACGACGGCAGGUGGCAGCGGUAGUGGCAACAACGGGCAACAAUGGCAACGACAGGAUUGGCGGUAGUUUGGCGGUUGCUUGACGGCUAUUCGGCAACUGUUCAAUAGUAGGCACGGGACAUAGUAGGGAGCAAGCUGGGCUAGAGCUCGGCUAGAUCAAGUAUUCUAAGCAAGUAUUCUAAGGAAGCAGCUAAUGUAUGAGGGGCCAGCAAGAAGAGCAAGAAGAUCAUGAGACAAAUAUUGAAUAAGAGUAGCAAUAGAUUUGAAGAGUCAAGUCUAUAGCAAAAAAAAAAUUGUAAUAGUUUAUAGAAGAGAGUCAUGCUGAUAACAUGUUGAGAAUGUUUAGAAAGACACAAGAGUAGUAGUAAGUAAUGCACAUACACAAGAAUAGUAGUAAGUAAUGCACAUACACAAGAGUAGUAGUAAGUAAUGCACAUACACAAGAGUAGUAGUAAGUCAUAUACACAAGAGGGUUUCUAAGGAGAGAGAGCUUCACACGUUGAUCUGGUUGUGUCUCGUAUACAAGAAGAGAAAGGAGAGAGGAUAAACAGUUCUUCUCUACUAGACUCUAAAUAUUGUAGCUAUGGUAUUUAUUGUUGUCUACAGUAAAUAUUAUGGAGAGGGCCGGCUACAUUUAAUGCUCUAAACAGUUUGGACCUCAAUUGGACCUCAAUUCUUUUUCUUUUUCUUUUUUUGGUUUUGGUGUGUUCAAUUGGAGCUCCAAAGUUCACGGACUGCGCAGCAGGUUUUUAUUCGUUUCCUGACUAAGUGUGUUUUUUCCUCCGAAUAGCAAAUUGUGUUGUUUUGGUUCCUAGCGGUUGUACGGUGUGCGACGGUUGGUGCUGUGUGGCAGUUUACUUUCUUCUUCUAGUAUUGAGGCUGGACGUCGGCAGAGCCGACGUUGCCCUCCUUGGCUCGAAUUGUUGUCCACAAGUGGAUACUCGGGUAAUCUCUCUUCUUUGGUUGUGAGCGUCUUGCUAUUUGUUCUUUUUUUCUUUUGUUCCUACAGAGUUAAAGUGCUAAAGUCAACGACUAGCUUGUUUUUUCUUCUUCUUCUGAUGUGAUCGAUCGGCGGCUCAAUGGGCAGAGGAUGUAGUUGCAACGCCGAGGAGUGCGUUAUUUUCUAGGUCGUGGAUUUGUGUCGGUGUAGGAGGGGCAUUGCAGCAUUGUAGUGCAGAGUGUUGCAGCAGAAGGCGUUCUUCAACGCUUGUUGAUUUUAGUGCAAUCAGUUACUACGAAGUUGCUGAUCGCUGCAGCACUGCCCUUGUAGUAGAUGGAGUGAUCUCAAGUCAACUUAUUGGGUCGACGCUACCGCAUUCAGCACCUUCUUUCUCGAUAUCGGCUCUUGAGAAGGUUUUGAAUCUUGGUCAUAGUUAUUCACUGCGACUAGUCCUAUCUUGCGGUGCAGAGUUGGGUGUCGUUCGAGUUGAGAUUUAGGUGGUUGCCUGCCUGUGAAAUUUUGAUCUCCAUCCAAUUAUUGUAUUUGCACCUGCCUACUCUCUACGAAGGACUUAAAUGGAAUUUAUUUUUUUCCAUUGUCGGGUCGAAGCUGGGAAGUUCUCUUCUCUCCUUUCAAUCUUUCUGGCCUACCUCGAAAUCGUGUUUUGUUAAAUAAUGUAGGGCUCUUGUUCCUUUUUGGUAUGUGGUUGUCUUAUGAAGUACAACAUUGUUGUUUGCACCUGCUACUGCAGCCUUGAGGUGGUGCAGCUUGGGUUGGAUGGACUGUGCUAGCAAGCCCAAGUGGGAGUUGGAAAUCAAUUACGACGAUCCUGAGUUGGAGAGUUGAAAGUGCAGCAAAGGAUCAUAACAAGUCAUAGAAAAAAUUGUCCUUCAAGUAUUGAGUGCCUUGUAUUGUUUUGGUUAUGUGAGAGUGGUUUUUAAGUAGUAAAGAGCAAUAAGAGUUUAAGACAAAGUAGAAGACAAUUUGAGCAAUUAAAUUGGAAGCUAGUUAAUAGUUGUGAAGUAGAAUAAAUUAUUUAUUAGAGUGAUUUAUUUUAAAUCACCACUAAAUGUUAUUAAGAUGUUAGGCAUAAAUUAAAUGCUAAUCAAUAAUUAUUGAAAUAUUAAAAUAAUUAAAUUAUUGUGAAUUAGAAUGGGCUUCCCACUAAUGGGGCUUUAUUUUAGUUCACACCACGUUGAUGACAAGAUAUGAUUACUUUGUUGUAAUACAAAGACUAGUGGAUAUUGUAACAAGUUGAAUUAUCAUAGACUUGGACUAUUUCUUAUUUGUAUACAACUCAAUCUAAUUGCUCGUUGAUUACAUUUACCAAAAUUUAUGAAGAUCCAUCAUGUAUUCUAUGUAUCUCUUUUUGAGCCAUAUAAGAUAGUGGCUAUAUUUGAAAGAAGAAAAAUAUCACCUCAUUAUAUAGAAAUAGGGAAUAAUCAAGAAUUUAAAAUCAAAAGAUUCAUGUACUUAAAGUAAUGCUAAAAUAGGUUAGAAUAUUUUCUACAUUGGCAUAGAUAUGAUAUUGGUAAACACAUAUAGAAGCCAUUUAAGAAUCUUACAAAUGCAAUAAAAAAAAAGUUGAUACUUUUUAUUGAUGAAAAAUAAUAAAAUUCUCUAUUGUAAUGUAUAUCAAAUUUAAUGAGGAUUGUAUUCUAUUUUUUAUUCUUCUACAUAGUUUUGAUAUAUUUGUAGUACUAAAAAAAUAAAAUAAAAUAAAAAUUAGCAAAUUCAACUAAAAGCAACCAUUUGUUAAGUUAUCAAAUGAAGCAUUGAGAUUGUCACAACCUUCAAGACAACAUAAUAGAAUUGAAGACCUUCAAGACUAACAUAUUCUUCCUUGAAUAGAUCACAAAAUACAAUGUGUUUGAUAUCACGAUCUUGAAAGAAACUUCCAAUGUUUAAUAAUAUAAUUAGAUAUAAAAACCAUCAUUGAUAGUAUUUAAAAUAUUUUAUUUGAAGGUAGUUAUGAAGGCCUCAAUAAUAAUCAAAUAACAAGGUAACUUUUUUAGCUUGACAUAAAAUACUAUUGAUAGUUAAGAGGACCUAUCAACUAUCUUUGAAGAAAAUAAAUAUCAAAAUAUGUAAUAAAUAUAAUCUUUUAUAUUGUGGACUUUUUCAAUAUGUAAUCACCACUACUUGUGGAACUUGUCUUUAAAAGGGUGAAAUAAUAUAUAUAUAUAUAUAUAUAUAUAUAUAUAUAAAUAAUAAUUAAAUAGAAAUAAAUAGAAGUAAGUAGAUUUGAUAAUAUCUUAUUAAAAAGCUUCUUAGAAGCUCCAUAAAUAUGGAUUUGACUUUAUAUAUGUCUAUAAAUGAUUAAUAGGUUAAAAACUUGGCUAAUAAAUUAGCCAUGUAUUGUACAUGUUGGCCACUUAUGUUACAAGUUUAUCAUGUGGUAUACAUGUGAAACUUAUCUUGCAAGUUAGGCAUGUACAUUGCAAGUUGAAUAUGCAUUGGAGGUCCUAUAUAACAUUGUCAUAUAGCUUCUACUUAGAUGGUAUAUAUAGAGGUAAGAAUGAAGCCUUCUUUACUCUUAUCAAUGCAUUUUUUUUUUUUUUUCAAUCUUGUUUUAAGUGUCUCAAGUCUUUUUGUCUUUAGCAAUAGCCAUUCUAGUUUUAAUAUACUAUCUUUGAGUUAUUAUCUAUUCUCUUUUAAUGAUACAAGAACAUACUUAUUUUUUAUUCUUUAUAAUUAGUAUCUUUGAUAAAAGAUCUAUCAUAAGUUGUAUCUUUAUAAUAGGUAUAUAUUUAAUAAUAGCCCUUUAAAUUAAAGAAUAUUAUAAAAAUAUUAUAAAAAUAAUUUAAAAAGCCAUAUAGUUAAAAAGAUUUGCUAGUAAAUUUAGAUUGGUACAAAAUUAGAUUUUAUUAUAUAUUGAUAGUCAAAGUAUUAUAAAUUUGGUAAAAAAAUCAAGUUUAUAAUUUUAGAACAAAGUUCAUAGAUAUUACACAUUAAAAAGAUAGGUACAAAAAUAGAUAUUAUAAAUAUGAUGAAGAAACUACUAAUCAAUUAAAAGUUUAAUAUAGAUUUAAAUAUAUUACGUGUAACAUAUGAUUAAUAAAAAAAUAUUUGUAUACAUGUGAUAUAAAAAUCUAUAAUUCUUUAUAUUUUUUUAUUUAAAUAAAUUUAAAUAAAGAAGAAGUUGUAAAAACAAUGCAUUGUAUUUCUUCUAUUUAAUGUUUAUAAAACAAUGAUAGACUUCUUUGCCAUUUAAUAGAUAUUCUUAUAUAAGUUAUACUUCUUACUUUUUAACAAAUAAAUACUUCUUAAUUCUUACAAAAUAAUAAUUAUAUGAAUAUAUAUAUAUAUAUAUAUAUAUAAAGAGAUUCAAAUUUUAUAAAGUAAUUCUAUUCUAUUAUUAAUUUUAAUAAGAUAUGCAGAUAUAUAUAUAUAUAUAUAUAUAUAUAUAUAUAUAUAUAUAUAUAAAUACGGUUUUAAAUUGUAUCAAUUGAAAAGAUUAUACCUAUUAGAAUAAUAUUGCAUUCAUUAAAUUAUUAAAUUUUAAAGUACUACAUGAUAUUGUAAUAAAAAAGAGUCUCUUUAGGCAAAUAUACAACUUUUAACUAUAAUUUAGAUGUUCUUAGAAACUAUGAGAAUUUAAUAAAGCUCAAAUUAAUAAGGCAUUUUCAUUUUUAAUCUUUAUAAAAAAUUAUUAUGGUAGAAAAUCUAAGAUAUAUAAGAUGAUAAAAGAAAUGUGUCAAAAAAAUUAAUCGAAAUAAAACUAAUAAUGAUGUGCUUAUAUAUAGAAAAAUUUAAAAAUCUUAGUUAUAAGUAAACUAAGCAAUAUUGAUCAAUAAGUGUGUUGCAAUCAAAUAUAACAAUUCAGAUCAAAGGAUAAACACAAUUAUAUGUAAUUUAAAGUUAAAUAAAAAAAUAUUAAUUAUAAAGUUUUAAAAUGAGAUUUAAAAAUGAGAUUUGAUGUGUAAACAAUAAAAAAGGGAUAUUUCAAAAUACUUCAACAAUAAAAUAUAUGACAUUAAAAAAUUAAAAAUAUUAGAUAUAAUAAUUUAAAUAUUAUAUAUAUAUAUUAUAUAUUUUCAUGUUUCCAUCAAUAUAAUUUUUUUUUUAUUGAUUUGAGCUUUAUUAAAUUCUCAUAGUUUCUGAGAACAUCUAAAUUAUAGUUAAAAGUCAUAUAUUUGCCUAAAGAGACUCUUUUUUAUUACAACAUGUUGUAUUUUAAAAUUUAAUAAUUUAAUGAAUGCAACAUUAUUCUAGUAGGUAAAAUUUCAUUGAUAUAAUUCAUUGAUAAAAUUUUAAACCAUAUAAAAACAUAUGUAUAUAUGCAUCUUAUUAAAAUUAGACUCAAAAUCACAAAUGAAUGGAAAUUGAUAAUAAAAUAGAUUUAUUUUACUAUAUAUAUAUAUAUAUAUAUAUAUAUAUAUAUAUAUAAUUCUAUUGAGCUAAAAAUCAAAGCUUCUAAAAUUCUAAAAAUGUUUUUAGAAAAUAUUCUAAAUAUUUUGCAAGAAUAAAGAAGUAUUUAUUCACCAAGAAGUAAGAUGAAGUAAGAAGUAGAACUUAUACAAGAAUAUCUACUGAAUAGCAAAGAAGCCUAUCAACAUUAAUAGUUAGAAAUAAUAAAAUAUUAAUUAGAAAAAGAAAUUAAUUAAAGAAGCAUUAAAAAGAUAAAAGAAGUAAUAGCCAAGGUUUAUAAGUGGUGCAAAAAAGUAAUGUAUUGGAAAGAAAUUAAGUAAGUAGCAACAAAUGAGAGAAACUCAGUUAAGAAAAUAAUUUAGAAAAUUAUUUUAUGUGAUCAUAGAACAAUCAGAAUUUGAAGCUAUAGAAUGAUAAAAUUUAAAAAAUGGGUCUACGGAAAAAUCAAUAUUUUAUUAAAUUUUAGAAAAAAAAUAAAAAAUAUAUAUUGAUAUUAUUUUAAAAUUAUAUACAAUUCCUUUUAUAUUUUAAUCUUCUAAAUAAAAUUUUUUACAUUUACUUUUUUAUAAUAGUAUUACCAAUCUAUACUCUUUUGACAAACAAGUUGUGUUAUAUUCAAAGUCCUAAACAAUAUUUUUAGUUUCUUUUCAAGAUAAAACCACAUUGUACAUUAAAAUAGAUACUCUUCUUUUAACUCUACACAUAGAAGAAGAAAAAUAAAUAAAUAAAAACGCACAUCACAAUAGUGUAACAAAAAAAAAAUCCUUUAAGUUUUUUUACUGUAUAAAAUCAAGUCAAACAACUAGGUUUGCAAUAGGUCCACUUCAAAGAACUGGUUUUUACAACAAUUCAAAAAGUUGCUCUUAAUUAUAUACUAUAUAUAUAAUCACCAUAUUUAGUUUUAUAUAUAUAUAUAUAUAUAUAUAAUUUCAAUUUCAUGGCCUCUUCUUACACUAAACUAUCUUUGAAUGCCAAGACUUCCAAAGAAAAACUCUUCACCAAAUAAUAAAUUUUUGUAAAUCUUUUGUACCACAAUCUAUCAAAACGGACUUCUAAAUAUAUAUAAAACCUAGUAAAAUAAAAUUCGAAAUGAAUUCUCCACCAAGUCAUGUCUGAAUGCAUCAACCUCAUCUGCUCCCCCUCCUCCCGUAUGAAGCAAUAAUCCAACAAGCCUCUAAGAUUGCAAGCCUGUGGAUGCUUGAGGGUCUAGAACUCAACAGAACCUCAUGAACUUAUAGCUUAUAGCGGUAGGUACAUGCAGCUGGGAUGGGGUGCCCUGCCCGGCCAAGCAUGAUUGCACUGCCAAGACAGCAACUGAUCACGGCCGCAGGAGCAUCCUCUUCUGGUGACCGCAGAGAUGUGUCGCAGAAACCUCCCUUCUCAAUCGACUGGCUCCACCAUCGUGGGCCGUCGGAUCGCAGUUUCCGCUAAAAUUAAUCUCAACCGCCGAUCGGAUUACUGAGAACAGAGGGAGGGAACGUCGAGGAACCAGGGGGCGGGCAGUUUGGGAACUCAGAACCCAUUUCUCCUUGGGCCCGCACUGAUCCUUCCUCACAUGGGGUGCUGAAGUUUGUUUAGGGGGAUGCCCCAUCACUCUUCUUUCAAACUAUAUUUUUUUGUUGUCAUACACAACAGCCCACGAUGGCGGAGCUAGUCGAUUGAAUAGGGAGGUUUCUGCGACAUGAAGUGACGAGGCCAAGAGUAUCCCAGCCAGAGCCCUAGAACCAUAACUUAGCAUCUGCCCAGCUUUCUCCUCCUCGAAAGCCGCACUAAUUUAAGUAAAAAGAAAGUUCACGUUCAGCUUGCAGACACGAGAGGUAUAGUAAGCGCCAGCUACGAUAGAUCGAAUAUAAAACACACACCACUUAUCCCAGGCUAAUGGUGGCGAGGGACGCAGAAGAUGCCGGCUCCCUAGUCCGAGUCAAUGGAUCAGUGUCCGAAUGGGACAAACAAAGUUGCUAAAAGUAAACAUGAGUGGUCGGGCUGGUAUAUUUCAGCCAAGCUUCCGAAAACUCUGUAGUUAUAUUUAAAUUUAGCAAUGUUUCAUUUUAAUGCACAAUGGAAAACAUUGAGCUGACCCAAUUUGGCUUAAAUCAAAACAUUUCACAAUCGCGUCCAAGGAAAACAAACAGUAAUUUUUAUUUCUUCCUUAGAAUUCACACCCUGUAAAUGCAAAUAAAGCUUUUUGCCUUUCAAAUUUUGGUUGAGUACUUCUGGUUAAGAUUUAUUCCAUUGUAAAUUCUUGAUUUAAAGGAAUUGCUUCUCUUUUGACAUUUUGAAUAUUUUAUAUGAUUAAAUUUAAAAAAUCUAUACAAAUUAUGAAUAUAAAUUGAAUUUUAUAAUUUAAGUUUGUAAGUAAAUGGAUUUUUUUAUAUGUAUAAUAAAUAAAUUAAAUUUUUCAUAAUCUAACUUGUUACAAGAUCAAUUAGUCUAUAUAUAGUCAAUUAUAAAACAAAGUAACUGUACUUUAUUACCCAUUUUAAAUUAUUUAAUUUUAUUUAUAUAUAUUAGAGAGAAUAUUAAAAUAAAUUGUAAAUAGAAUAUAGAUCCUACCUCCACCAAAUCCAAUUUAUAUUCUAUUAUAACUUGUUGUAAAUAGAAUAUAGAUCCUACCUCCACCAAAUCCAAUUUGCUCUACUCUCAAAUAUACUUUGCUCUAAUCUAAUCUCAGAUCUAUUCUACUUAGCUCUCAUGUUUAAUAUACUUUGCUUUCAAAUCUAUUAUGCUCCAUUCCAAGAUUUAUUUUGCUUUCUAGAUCUUUGAUUACAGCAAAAUAAACUUAAGAGUAGAGCAGAGUAGUUUUGGAAACACAGCAUAGUUGUUUUGAGAGUGGAGUAGAAUAGAUUUGACAAUGGAGCACAGUAGAUUUGAAAGUUGAGUAUAACAAACCUAAGAUUGGAUUAAAAAAAAAAGAUUUACAAAUAGAGCAAAAAAUAUAUGGCAGAAGUAGGAUUUGUAUUCUAUUGACAAUAGGUUAGUUUAAAAAAUGUAUGAAUUGAUUUCAUAUUAUGAUAUAUAUAUAUAUAUACAUACAUACAUACAUACAUAAUUUAUAGUUCUUCUGUAUAUGUAUAUAGAUAUAUUUUUUUGCAAAAUAUUUUGUUAUAAGAUUGUUAUUAUAAAAAAUAUAAAUUAUGAAAUUAAUUAUAAUUAGGAAAAUAGUGUUUGUUAAAUAGAUUUUUUUAGUUUACUGAAUAAAAAUAUUUAUUUGAGUUUAUGUAAAAAUUACGAUAAUUAUAUUAGUAAUAAUCUAUUAUCUUCUUUAAAAAAUAUUUAAAAAAUAUUAAUUAAAUUUUUAUCUACAUAGGCUUUUAAUUAAUUUUGUUUAAAAGUAUGAUAUUAAAAGUAUAUUAUACUAUUUUAUACAUUUUCAAAACUUAGGAAAAAAAAUGUCGUAUUGUGUUGUAUUGUGUCUCAAUAAUAUGUUAGUUUGGCAAAGUAAAAAAAAGAAAAAGGGUUGAUAAUAACAAAUUAAAUAAGCAACUAAAUAGAUAUUUUGAUGUAAUAUAUUUAAAACUUGAUGAUAUACUAUUGAAUAUUGAUAUCUAUAGAAAUUGUAGGAUACACAGAAGUUGAAUAUUUUAAAAGAAGUAGAUUAAUGAGGUAUUGCACAAUUAAUAAAUAUUCUUCUAAUAUCUCAUUUCACAUUGUUUUUUUUAUACAAUGUUCUACUAUUAAGAAAAUAAAAGAAAGUAUAUGAUUAGCAUUCUGCUGCUUUUAAAAAGACUACAUAAAGGAACAGGUGGCAAACAUGAGGAUCUUUAGAGGGAGAUGAUAGACUUCGUGAAGGAGACAUUUUUGUAGAUCGUACGUGAGGCAACGACAAGGAAACUCAAUGGCGGGGGGAGAGGGGGGGGUCCAUGUCAGCACACGGCCAUGCAUGCGAAGCAGAGCCUCUCGGGAGCGAUCCAGGGGGCACAACCUCAUAAUGCGAAGGGGUGAGCCCCCAGCCACACCCCCAAACGAGGUUGGCAUGGGUGAACCAGGCCAAUUUGGAUCCCCCCAUCAACGUGAUUCUCAUGGGAGGAGCCCCCCCCCCCCCCCCGCUCUGAUCCUGCUCUCAGCCCUGCGAAGCGAGUUUUGCAUGGGACAGUCAAUCCCAUCGCAUUGUGUCCAAGCGUUGGACGCCCUCUGACACAAAACUUUUCAGACAACGCAGUUUCAGAAAUUUUCUGAAACCUGAGCACAAUCGGGAGUGGCUGCAUCGGAAGCGUCCAUGGUCGAUGGAUAAGGGAUCGAAGGGUGCUGGUCCUCCACCUCGACGGGAAUGUGCAGUGUGCGACGGGGCGAAUCGCAGUGGAAUCGGACAAAUAACCGGUUACCACCCUCCGCAGUAUAUAAAUCAUUCCGGAUGAUAGCUAUAUCUCAGUGCUCAUCUCAAGCAUCCAGUGAGACUAUCUGGGUAUCAGUCGCAUUUAAUUGAAGACUCCGCGGUAAGCAGGACGCGACAUGUGGCCGGAAGCCUAUCAGCCCGUGUUGUUGGAUCUUUGUGUGCAUUCCCUCGUUGUGCAAUGUUCUUUGCCCCAAAUCCUUCAGCUGGCGGACUGCUGUCGUUGCUAAUUGAAUAGCUCAAUCAGUGAUCCUUGACUUUGCAGGGAUAGUCGACACUUCAACAUGGCGUCCAGCUCCAGGGCCUUGUACCUUUUCAUAUUCUCUCUGGCACUAUGUCACUCAGUCAAUGCGGGGAUGAGCAACGUCGAGAAAAUUCAGCUGGCUUUCAAGCAGAUCACCACUGCGUCCGACAACCUCCGCAAGGAAACGCAGUUGAUCAACAUCAUCAAUGCUCCGCUCCAGGGUUCCAAGAUUGCUGAGGGAUUCGCUAAAAUCAUCAGCGCCAUCGCCGAGUACACGAUCAAGAUUAACGAGGGUGGCGUCAAGAACGACAACAGUCCUCUGCCAGACGCGGACGCUAAGCUCGUCGUGCAAUCCCUGACGACCUUCGUGCAGGUGCACCAGGCAUUGCUCAAUGUGGUGAUCGGCAAGCACGGCCUCCUUACUUUGAUCCCGUUCUUCGAGCCCAUCAGGUUGUCGCUGGUGUCCCUGGAAGCAACCAUAGACGCCUUCGCGUUUGCCCUCAUCGCCGAAAUCCCCACCCAGAAGCCCGCCGCAGAUGUGCAAUUCGGGUCCCUCAGUAUAACUCUCCAGGUUGCCAUCACCACCUACUCGUCGCCCAUAUUGGAAUCGAACAACCUGCAGGAGAUGAACACUACUGAGAAAAUCGUGCUGGCGUUCAAGCAGAUCACCACUGCGUCCGACAACCUCCGCAAGGAAGUGCAGCUGAUCAACAUCAUCAAUGCUCCUCUCCAGGGCUUCAAGAUUGCUGAGGGAUUCGCUAAAAUCAUCAGCGCCAUCGCCGAGUACACGAUCAAGAUUAACGAGGGUGGCGUCAAGAACUACAACAGUCCUUUGCCAGACGCGGACGCCCAGAUCGUGGUGCAAUCCCUGACGACCUUCGUGCAAGUGCACCAGGCAUUGCUCAAUGUGGUGAUCGGCAAGCACGGCCUCCUUACUUUGAUCCCGUUCUUCGAGCCCAUCAGGUUGUCGCUGGUGUCCCUGGAAGCAACCAUAGACGCCUUCGCGUUUGCCCUCAUAGCCGAAAUCCCCACCCAGAAGCCCGCCGCAGAUGUGCAAUUCGGGUCCCUCAGUGUAACCCUCCAGGUUGCCAUCACCACCUACUCGUCGCCCAUAUUGGAAUCGAACAACCUGCAGGAGAUGAACACUACUGAGAAAAUCGUGCUGGCGUUCAAGCAGAUCACCACUGCGUCCGACAACCUCCGCAAGGAAGUGCAGCUGAUCAACAUCAUCAAUGCUCCUCUCCAGGGCUUCAAGAUUGCUGAGGGAUUCGCUAAAAUCAUCAGCGCCAUCGCCGAGUACACGAUCAAGAUUAACGAGGGUGGCGUCAAGAACUACAACAGUCCUUUGCCAGACGCGGACGCCCAGAUCGUGGUGCAAUCCCUGACGACCUUCGUGCAAGUGCACCAGGCAUUGCUCAAUGUGGUGAUCGGCAAGCACGGCCUCCUUACUUUGAUCCCGUUCUUCGAGCCCAUCAGGUUGUCGCUGGUGUCCCUGGAAGCAACCAUAGACGCCUUCGCGUUUGCCCUCAUAGCCGAAAUCCCCAC